GCGGUCCGCAUCACAGAAGGGCGGGGGGGUUUCCGCCGCCCCGGACCACGCGAGAUCUCACCGCUCGCGGCUGCUGUUUUCCCCCAGUUGGGGCUGAAGUGUCGCGAGAAGACAUCACAACGCUCCAACGUCAAACAGACACCCGUGAUCGCCUGGGUGUUUUUCCAGAAAUCGGGUUUUGUUAAAACUCUGACUUUGUUAGCCCUGAGAGGAGACAGCGGAGAAAGACAGUGAGGAGUAUCCAUGGUAACUGACUGGCAGGUUUUCUUUAACAAACCCUGAGCUUCUCCUGAUCUGAGUCUGAACUGUCCAACAAGAGCGUGUCCUCCCCCCGUCGACCCGAUCGAUAUGGAAGCAGAAUGAAUUGUGUAGCCUUACAUCACAGAGGAUCUAGACCUCGUGAAGAUGCUUCCAUUCCUAGACGACGACGACGACUGGUAGAACUUUACUACCUGAACAAUGGAUCACAUAUCUGAACAAUAUUCUCCGGCCUUGCUUCCAACACUCCAUAUGGCGACAUGCUCUCCGACCGGAGAUCAUUCUUUGCAUUGCCCCUGGAUUUUUUUCUUCCGAACAAUGUUCCUGUGUUCUGGCUCAAAGCUGCUCUGCGUCAGAGGGGGGAUGGUGGUGCAGCCCACAACCCGUUAUGCAGAUUAUCUGAAUAGAAGUCAAAUGUUCAUCUAAUAAACAGGAUAUAUAAGGACA
Scophthalmus maximus (turbot) is the source of this 705-nucleotide long non-coding RNA. RefSeq lists it as uncharacterized. The record is from RefSeq and is a predicted model, not a curated record. Lineage: Eukaryota; Metazoa; Chordata; Actinopteri; Pleuronectiformes; Scophthalmidae. The transcript is spliced from 2 exons.